UACGGGGGGGGCAAGCGUUGUUCGGAAUUAUUGGGCGUAAAGGGCGCGUAGGCGGGUUGUCAAGUCCGGGGUGAAAGCCCCCAGCUCAACUGGGGAAGUGCCUUGGAUACUGGGAACCUCGAGGGAGGUAGGGGCGUGCGGAACUUCCGGUGGAGCGGUGAAAUGCGUAGAUAUCGGAAGGAACACCGGUGGCGAAAGCGGCGCGCUGGACCUCUUCUGACGCUGAGGCGCGAAAGCCAGGGGAGCAAACGGG
This 253-nucleotide ribosomal RNA is filed under the name uncultured bacterium. RNAcentral describes it as "partial 16S ribosomal RNA". It matches the Rfam family "Bacterial small subunit ribosomal RNA", at positions 524 to 776 of the family's 1533-position model. The record is from RNAcentral.